RNAcentral lists this ribosomal RNA (684 nucleotides) under Anabaena sp. PUPCCC 410.2/1. Its description in RNAcentral is "bacterial SSU rRNA". It matches the Rfam family "Bacterial small subunit ribosomal RNA", at positions 97 to 816 of the family's 1533-position model. The record is from RNAcentral. Lineage: Bacteria; Bacillati; Cyanobacteriota; Cyanophyceae; Nostocales; Nostocaceae.
UUCGGACGGGGUUGGUAACGCGUGAGAAUCUAGCUUCAGGUCGGGGACAACCACUGGAAACGGUGGCUAAUACCGGAUGUGCCGAAAGUGAAAGAUUUAUUGCCUGAAGAUGAGCUCGCGUCUGAUUAGCUAGUUGGUGUGGUAAGAGCGCACCAAGGCGACGAUCAGUAGCUGGUCUGAGAGGAUGAUCAGCCACACUGGGACUGAGACACGGCCCAGACUCCUACGGGAGGCAGCAGUGGGGAAUUUUCCGCAAUGGGCGAAAGCCUGACGGAGCAAUACCGCGUGAGGGAGGAAGGCUCUUGGUUGUAAACCUCUUUUCUCAGGGAAUAAAAAAAUGAAGGUACCUGAGGAAUAAGCAUCGGCUAACUCCGUGCCAGCAGCCGCGGUAAUACGGAGGAUGCAAGCGUUAUCCGGAAUGAUUGGGCGUAAAGCGUCCGCAGGUGGCACUGUAAGUCUGCUGUUAAAGAGCAAGGCUCAACCUUGUAAAGGCAGUGGAAACUACAGAGCUAGAGUACGUUCGGGGCAGAGGGAAUUCCUGGUGUAGCGGUGAAAUGCGUAGAGAUCAGGAAGAACACCGGUGGCGAAAGCGCUCUGCUAGGCCGUAACUGACACUGAGGACGAAGCUACGGGAGCUAAUGCGAUUAGAGACCCAGGUAUUUCCACCCCGUUACCACCCCGUUC